UACAGAGACCCCGAGCAUUAUCCGGAAUUACUGGGCGUAAAGCGCGAGCAGCCGGUCGCAUUAGUCUGAUGUAAAACCGUGGGGCCCAACUCCACGUCUGCGUCGGAAACGGUGCGACUCGAGCGGAUGAGAGGGAGGCGGAAUGUAUGGUGUAGGGGUAAUAUCCACUGAUAUCAUACAGAACACCAAAAGCGAAGGCAGCCUCCUAGCGUCUUGCUGACGGUCAAUCGCGAAAGCGUGGGGAU
This 245-nucleotide ribosomal RNA is filed under the name uncultured bacterium. RNAcentral's name for it is "partial 16S ribosomal RNA". It matches the Rfam family "Bacterial small subunit ribosomal RNA", at positions 524 to 768 of the family's 1533-position model. The record is from RNAcentral.